ACCAGGGAUACUUAGUACGGCGAGUGAAGCGGUAAAAGCUCAAAUUUGAAAUCUGGUACUUUCAGUGCCCGAGUUGUAAUUUGUAGAAUUUGUCUUUGAUUAGGUCCUUGUCUAUGUUCCUUGGAACAGGACGUCAUAGAGGGUGAGAAUCCCGUUUGGCGAGGAUACCUUUUCUCUGUAAGACUUUUUCGAAGAGUCGAGUUGUUUGGGAAUGCAGCUCAAAGUGGGUGGUAAAUUCCAUCUAAAGCUAAAUAUUGGCGAGAGACCGAUAGCGAACAAGUACAGUGAUGGAAAGAUGAAAAGAACUUUGAAAAGAGAGUGAAAAAGUACGUGAAAUUGUUGAAAGGGAAGGGCAUUUGAUCAGACAUGGUGUUUUUUGCAUGCACUCGCCUCUCGUGGGCUUGGGCCUCUCAAAAAUUUCACUGGGCCAACAUCAAUUCUGGCAGUAGGAUAAAUCAUUAAGAAUGUAGCUACCUCGGUAGUGUUAUAGCUUAUUGGAAUACUGCUAGCUGGGAUUGAGGACUGCGCUUCGGCAAGGAUGUUGGCAUAAUGGUUAAAUGCCGCCCGUCUUGACC
RNAcentral lists this ribosomal RNA (575 nucleotides) under Hanseniaspora guilliermondii. Its description in RNAcentral is "eukaryotic LSU rRNA". It matches the Rfam family "Eukaryotic large subunit ribosomal RNA", at positions 68 to 659 of the family's 3401-position model. Lineage: Eukaryota; Fungi; Ascomycota; Saccharomycetes; Saccharomycodales; Saccharomycodaceae. The record is from RNAcentral.